GAUGAACGCUGACAGAAUGCUUAACACAUGCAAGUCUACUUGAAUUUGGGUUUUUAACUUAGAUUUGGGUGGCGGACGGGUGAGUAACGCGUAAAGAACUUGCCUCACAGCUAGGGACAACAUUUAGAAAUGAAUGCUAAUACCUAAUAUUAUGAUAAUAGGGCAUCCUAUAAUUAUGAAAGCUAUAUGCGCUGUGAGAGAGCUAUGCGUCCCAUUAGCUAGUUGGAGAGGUAACAGCUCACCAAGGCGAUGAUGGGUAGCCGGCCUGAGAGGGUGAUCGGCCACAAGGGGACUGAGACACGGCCCUUACUCCUACGGGAGGCAGCAGUGGGGAAUAUUGGACAAUGGACCGAGAGUCUGAUCCAGCAAUUCUGUGUGCACGAUGAAGUUUUUCGGAAUGUAAAGUGCUUUCAGUUGGGAAGAAAGAAAUGACGGUACCAACAGAAGAAGUGACGGCUAAAUACGUGCCAGCAGCCGCGGUAAUACGUAUGUCACGAGCGUUAUCCGGAUUUAUUGGGCGUAAAGCGCGUCUAGGUGGUUAUAUAAGUCUGAUGUGAAAAUGCAGGGCUCAACUCUGUAUUGCGUUGGAAACUGUAUAACUAGAGUACUGGAGAGGUAAGCGGAACUACAAGUGUAGAGGUGAAAUUCGUAGAUAUUUGUAGGAAUGCCGAUGGGGAAGCCAGCUUACUGGACAGAUACUGACGCUGAAGCGCGAAAGCGUGGGUAGCAGACAGG
This 735-nucleotide ribosomal RNA is filed under the name uncultured Fusobacterium sp. RNAcentral's name for it is "bacterial SSU rRNA". It matches the Rfam family "Bacterial small subunit ribosomal RNA", at positions 28 to 776 of the family's 1533-position model. Lineage: Bacteria; Fusobacteriati; Fusobacteriota; Fusobacteriia; Fusobacteriales; Fusobacteriaceae. The record is from RNAcentral.